Molecule: transfer RNA, 73 nt
Filed under: archaeon
Lineage: Archaea
Description: tRNA-Asp
Rfam family: tRNA
About the family: Transfer RNA (tRNA) molecules are approximately 80 nucleotides in length. Their secondary structure includes four short double-helical elements and three loops (D, anti-codon, and T loops).
Source: RNAcentral
GCCCUGGUAGUCUAGCGGUCUAGGAUACAGCCCUGUCAAGGCUGUGACUCGGGUCCGAAUCCCGGCCAGGGCG